UACGGAGGGGGCUAGCGUUGUUCGGAAUUAUUGGGCGUAAAGCGCACGUAGGCGGCUUUUCAAGUCAGGGGUGAAAUCCCGGGGCUCAACCCCGGAACUGCCCUUGAAACUGGAUGGCUAGAAUCUUGGAGAGGUCAGUGGAAUUCCGAGUGUAGAGGUGAAAUUCGUAGAUAUUCGGAAGAACACCAGUGGCGAAGGCGACUGACUGGACAAGUAUUGACGCUGAGGUGCGAAAGCGUGGGGAGCAAACAGG
RNAcentral lists this ribosomal RNA (253 nucleotides) under uncultured bacterium. RNAcentral describes it as "partial 16S ribosomal RNA". It matches the Rfam family "Bacterial small subunit ribosomal RNA", at positions 524 to 776 of the family's 1533-position model. The record is from RNAcentral.